GGAGAAGGAGGCGGCGCCCUGAGCAGAUGGCGCUAAAAAAGACCCAAGAUCCCGCCGCUCGCGCUCAUAUACAAUUAGCGUCAGCACGCUCUUAUCAGGGUUCCAGGUCUCUACUCCCUCCUGAAGUACUCAUCCCCAAGCCUGACAUACAUCUUCUCCUCAAAGGGCCCCUUUUGCUUUUGUGGCACUGCAAUCAAAUUCCAAAUAUGAAGAGAUGAAUGGAAUCGAUCAAAGAAAAAGUUCAUUUCAUAGUACUGUUGAAGGGAAAACCCACAGGGUGAAACAACUGUUUGAGGAGAGAUUCACAAGUUUAGAUCAGGCAUCGAAAUUACCCUAUUACCUGUGAGACUCUGGGAAAAGUAUGUAUUGUAUAGUACAAAGAACCCUGGAUUUUGAGUCAGAGAAUUUGGGUUCAAAUCCUGGAUCUGCCUUUAAGUUGAGGCAAAUCUCUUAUCCUGUCUGGGCUUCCGUUCCAUCCCACGUAAAAUUAAGGAGUUGGAUUAAAUGUCCUCUGUAGUGCAUUUCAGCUUUAAAUAUUUCAUCUUAUGAACCUGUCUGGGAAGUUUUCUCAUCCAUGUGGUAAAGGAGGGAGUGAAUUGGAGGGUUGGACCAGAUGGCCCUAAAAUUCCUUCCAGCAUUAAACCUAUAUUCCUAAAUAAA
Non-coding RNA from Phascolarctos cinereus (koala), 660 nucleotides. NCBI's taxonomy places the organism in Eukaryota, Metazoa, Chordata, Mammalia, Diprotodontia, Phascolarctidae. The record is from RefSeq and is a predicted model, not a curated record.